CGGGUGAGUAAUGCCUAGGAAAUUGCCUUGAUGUGGGGGAUAACCAUUGGAAACGAUGGCUAAUACCGCAUAACGCCUACGGGCCAAAGAGGGGGACCUUCGGGCCUCUCGCGUCAAGAUAUGCCUAGGUGGGAUUAGCUAGUUGGUGAGGUAAUGGCUCACCAAGGCGACGAUCCCUAGCUGGUCUGAGAGGAUGAUCAGCCACACUGGAACUGAGACACGGUCCAGACUCCUACGGGAGGCAGCAGUGGGGAAUAUUGCACAAUGGGCGCAAGCCUGAUGCAGCCAUGCCGCGUGUAUGAAGAAGGCCUUCGGGUUGUAAAGUACUUUCAGCAGUGAGGAAGGGGGUGUCGUUAAUAGCGGCAUCUCUUGACGUUAGCUGCAGAAGAAGCACCGGCUAACUCCGUGCCAGCAGCCGCGGUAAUACGGAGGGUGCGAGCGUUAAUCGGAAUUACUGGGCGUAAAGCGCAUGCAGGUGGUUUGUUAAGUCAGAUGUGAAA
Molecule: ribosomal RNA, 500 nt
Filed under: Vibrio fortis
Lineage: Bacteria; Pseudomonadati; Pseudomonadota; Gammaproteobacteria; Vibrionales; Vibrionaceae
Description: bacterial SSU rRNA
Rfam family: Bacterial small subunit ribosomal RNA
Source: RNAcentral